Molecule: ribosomal RNA, 1053 nt
Filed under: Triticum aestivum (bread wheat)
Lineage: Eukaryota; Viridiplantae; Streptophyta; Magnoliopsida; Poales; Poaceae
Description: partial small subunit ribosomal RNA
Source: RNAcentral
GACGUGUGUGCCAUCUGCCUCGGCGGCAUGGUCCGCGGCCAGGCCAGCUUCACGGCGGAGUGCUCCCACGCCUUCCACCUCAGCUGCAUCUCCGCCAGCGUCGCCCACGGGAACAACACCUGCCCGCUCUGCAAGGCGCCCUGGACCGUCUUGCCGGCCGUGAACGCCCCCGCCCAGGCAGGGGCACCACCGUUCUCCUCAUCGUCGCCGUCGUCCUCGUCCCAACAGGCGCCCCUCACGUACGAUGACGACGAGCCGACCGUCGGGGCGCAGACCGCGGCGGCGACCAACGCCGGUGCGGUUGUCCUCAGGACGCACUGCGAGUGCCCGGCCGUCGCGAGGGCCGCGGUCCGCGAAAACUUCGCGGUGCUCGUGCACGCCAGGGCGCCAUCUUCGGCCGCCUCCGAGGCGGCGCGCGCGCCGCUGGACCUCGUGACGGUGCUCGACGUCAGCGGCAGCAUGUCCGGCCGCAAGCUGGCGCUGCUGAAGCAGGCCAUGGGGUUCGUCAUCGACAACCUUGGAUCCGCCGACCGCCUCUCCGUGGUGUCCUUCUCCAGCAGCGCGAGUCGCCUGAUCCGCCUCGUGCGCAUGUCUGACGCGGGGAAGGCUGCGGCGAAGCGCGCCGUGGAAUCCCUCGCUGCAAACGGCGCCACUAACAUCGGCGAGGGGCUCCGCGUGGCCGCGACCGGCGGCACAUUUUCUUUCAUCGAGAACGAGGCGGUCGUCCAGGAAUCGUUCGCGCUGUGCAUCGGCGGGCUCCUCACGGUCGUCGUCCAGGAGUUGCGCAUCGCGGUGAUGUGCUUGCAUCCCGGCGUGCUCGUCCGGGCGGUCAAAUCUGGACGCUACGCCAACCGGGUGGACUCCUGCGGGCGUUCUGCCUCGGUCGACGUCGGCGAGCUCUAUGCCGACGAGGAGAGGCGGCUCCUCAUAUUCCUGGACGUGCCAGGGGCCGAGGAUGCCGAUGAGGUCACCCGGCUGGUCAAAGCCUCAAAGCGAGUUGCACUUACCGAGAUGCUGCGACAGGGCAGGCGGCCGCCGUCGCGGGAGACGAUG